This 526-nucleotide ribosomal RNA is filed under the name Candidatus Moraniibacteriota bacterium. Its description in RNAcentral is "bacterial SSU rRNA". It matches the Rfam family "Bacterial small subunit ribosomal RNA", at positions 1 to 573 of the family's 1533-position model. The record is from RNAcentral. Lineage: Bacteria; Candidatus Moraniibacteriota.
UGUUUUGAGAGUUUGAUCCUGGCUCAGGAUGAACGCUGGCGGCGUGGAUAAGGCAUGCAAGUCGAGUGGGUUUAGGCCCACGGCAAACGGGUUCGGAAUACAUAGGAAUUUCCCUCAGAGUCGUGAAUAAUUCGGAGAAAUCCGAGCUAAUACACGAUACGCUCUACGGAGUAAAGAUUUAUCGCUUUGAGAUGAGCCUGUGUCCUAUCAGCUUGUUGGUGAGGUAAAAGCCCACCAAGGCUAUGACGGGUAGGGGGUGUGAGAGCAUGACCCCCAACAUUGGAACUGAGACACUGUCCAAACACCUACGGGUGGCUGCAGUCGAGAAUAUUCCACAAUGGACGAAAGUCUGAUGGAGCGACGCCGCGUGUGGGAUGAAGGCCUUCGGGUUGUAAACCACUUUUUUCAGGGAGCAAUUUCGAUGAGAGUACCUGAAGAAUAAGAGGUUACUAACUCUGUGCCAGCAGUAGCGGUAAUACAGAGACCUCAAGCGUUAUCCGGAUUUAUUGGGCGUAAAGGGUAGGUA